UACGUAGGGGGCUAGCGUUGUCCGGAAUCAUUGGGCGUAAAGCGCGCGUAGGUGGCUCUGUAAGUCCGUUGUGAAAGUCAAAGGCUCAACCUUUGAAAGCCGAUGGAUACUGCAGAGCUAGAGUCCGGAAGAGGCGAGUGGAAUUCCUGGUGUAGCGGUGGAAUGCGCAGAUAUCAGGAGGAACACCAAUAGCGAAGGCAGCUCGCUGGGACGGUACUGACACUAAGGCGCGAAAGCGUGGGGAGCGAACAGG
RNAcentral lists this ribosomal RNA (253 nucleotides) under uncultured bacterium. Its description in RNAcentral is "partial 16S ribosomal RNA". It matches the Rfam family "Bacterial small subunit ribosomal RNA", at positions 524 to 776 of the family's 1533-position model. The record is from RNAcentral.